This is a long non-coding RNA of Ipomoea triloba (trilobed morning glory), 187 nucleotides long. RefSeq lists it as uncharacterized. The transcript is spliced from 2 exons. The record is from RefSeq and is a predicted model, not a curated record. Lineage: Eukaryota; Viridiplantae; Streptophyta; Magnoliopsida; Solanales; Convolvulaceae.
AUGGCCUGCUGCUGAACAUGGCAGAACAAUGUAUACAAUCCGGCAGAGAAUUGGCCCAUUGCUCAUGAGAAUGGAGAAAAGAUAUGGAAAGAUGGAGAGUAUGACAGGUGAGUUGUCAGAAAAGGAAAUUAUUCGACAAGAAAGGAAUGCUGGUUUCAUUAGUGACAGGGUGAGAGAGAUUCAGGUG